This 465-nucleotide ribosomal RNA is filed under the name Vreelandella stevensii. RNAcentral describes it as "partial 16S ribosomal RNA". It matches the Rfam family "Bacterial small subunit ribosomal RNA", at positions 338 to 795 of the family's 1533-position model. Lineage: Bacteria; Pseudomonadati; Pseudomonadota; Gammaproteobacteria; Oceanospirillales; Halomonadaceae. The record is from RNAcentral.
CCUACGGGAGGCAGCAGUGGGGAAUAUUGGACAAUGGGGGCAACCCUGAUCCAGCCAUGCCGCGUGUGUGAAGAAGGCCCUCGGGUUGUAAAGCACUUUCAGUGAGGAAGAACGCCUGGUGGUUAAUACCCAUCAGGAAAGACAUCACUCACAGAAGAAGCACCGGCUAACUCCGUGCCAGCAGCCGCGGUAAUACGGAGGGUGCGAGCGUUAAUCGGAAUUACUGGGCGUAAAGCGCGCGUAGGUGGCUUGAUAAGCCGGUUGUGAAAGCCCCGGGCUCUACCUGGGAACGGCAUCCGGAACUGUCAAGCUAGAGUGCAGGAGAGGAAGGUAGAAUUCCCGGUGUAGCGGUGAAAUGCGUAGAGAUCGGGAGGAAUACCAGUGGCGAAGGCGGCCUUCUGGACUGACACUGACACUGAGGUGCGAAAGCGUGGGUAGCAAACAGGAUUAGAUACCCUAGUAGUC